UACGAAGGGGGCUAGCGUUGCUCGGAAUCACUGGGCGUAAAGGGUGCGUAGGCGGGUCUUUAAGUCAGGGGUGAAAUCCUGGAGCUCAACUCCAGAACUGCCUUUGAUACUGAGGAUCUUGAGUUCGGGAGAGGUGAGUGGAACUGCGAGUGUAGAGGUGAAAUUCGUAGAUAUUCGCAAAGAACACCAGUGGCGAAAGGCGGCUCACUGGCCCGAUACUGACGCUGAGGCACGAAAAGCGUGGGGGAGCAAACAGGG
Molecule: ribosomal RNA, 258 nt
Filed under: uncultured bacterium
Lineage: Bacteria
Description: partial 16S ribosomal RNA
Rfam family: Bacterial small subunit ribosomal RNA
Source: RNAcentral